RNAcentral lists this ribosomal RNA (253 nucleotides) under uncultured bacterium. RNAcentral describes it as "partial 16S ribosomal RNA". It matches the Rfam family "Bacterial small subunit ribosomal RNA", at positions 524 to 776 of the family's 1533-position model. The record is from RNAcentral.
UACGGAGGGGACUAGCGUUGUUCGGAAUUACUGGGCGUAAAGCGCACGUAGGCGGAUUUGUAAGUCAGGGGUGAAAUCCCGGGGCUCAACCUCGGAACUGCCUUUGAUACUGCAAAUCUCGAGUCCGGAAGAGGUGAGUGGAAUUCCUAGUGUAGAGGUGAAAUUCGUAGAUAUUAUGAAGAACACCAGUGGCGAAGGCGGCUCACUGGUCCGGUACUGACGCUGAGGUGCGAAAGCGUGGGGAGCAAACAGG